This 1958-nucleotide long non-coding RNA is filed under the name Salvia miltiorrhiza (redroot sage). RNAcentral's name for it is "long non-coding RNA (SMIL_LNC005621)". The record is from RNAcentral. Lineage: Eukaryota; Viridiplantae; Streptophyta; Magnoliopsida; Lamiales; Lamiaceae.
CUUGUUCAACCUAGUCAUGUUCAAUGAUGUAGUUUAGACUUAAAACUGUCCAAACUAUUUUUAACAUAGUAAUAUCAUUUUCGACUUUCUACUUCAUAAAUCAUCCAAUAAGAAUCCAAAAUUCACAUUGUCAUAACCAAAGACACAUAUACAAUAGAUGGGACCACCAGGCUCAAAACGACAAUUCUUGCUAGCCUGCUCGAUCCGCGCCUAACUUCAUGAAUAUUCCAAUAUGCUUUCCAAGCCUCUUCAACAUUUUGUUUGAGAUAUGUUGGUGUCUUUGACGAGCUUCUUCGUCGAGUUUAGAAAGUCUCUAUAUAUAGUCCUAGCCAUCCCGAUCCAUGCCGCGUAAAUCAUAUCUCUAGAGUACACAGAUGAGUCCCAUUAAAAUGCAUUCCGCAUAUUUCACAUGAUGCUAAUUUUUCACAUAACAUUAAUAUUAUAAUAAUGUUAUAAAACUAAUUAAACAAAUGCUUACCACAAACUAAUUGAAAUAAACUUCAAUCAUCAAUAAUCUCUAUAUAGGCCUGGAAAGUAUGCUUUGAUGUAACCACGUUGAAUAGAUUUUAUGAAACCCAAAUAAUCUCUAGUCACAAUCUCCUUAAAGCUUUAAUGUAUUUUGGAGUCGCAUCCAUCCUUGAGUGGCCUGAAUCUCCUAGAUGUGACGUUGUAUCUCCAUCUUCUAUAAUUAAAGACAAACUAUAUUCGUGAGCUACGAAAAAUUGUAAUAGUUGAUUAAGAAUUAUACUCUAUACUUACCGCGUGAUGGGACACAUUAUAUUUAUUCCUUCAAAUGCACGCGUAAAAAUAUACUCCCUCCGUCCGCCAAAAUUAUGUAAAAUUGCUUGGGCACGAGAUUUAAUAAAAUUGGUGAUGAUUUUGAUGUAGUGGAGAAAGGGUCCCACCACUUUAUGAGAUGUGUGGUUGAGAUUGAAUUUUGAGUGGGUUUUUUGUAAAUAAAGAGUGUUAGUAAGGAUAAAAUAAUAAAAAGGGUGGUAGCACCAUUGUCAUAAAUGGCACUACGUGAUCCUCAUCAACCCCAAAUUAUCGUAAUAUUGCAUAACCCCUGAAUUAUCGAAAUAUAUAUCUAAACACAAAGGAAAAUGUCAUUAUCACCCAAAGUGGAGAAGAGUUGGAGAUCGUCAACCAUUUAAUCCUUUCAUCAACUAAGUUGGAGAUCGUCAACCAUUCUAUCAUUGCACAAGACAAUGAAUCACUGGGCAUAAGCAUAGACAUUGGGUUUGCACAUUUCUUUUUUAAUAAUAACGCAAAUCUCUAAACUAUGCAUAACCCAUUAAUCAUAGUAAGAUAAGUAACUUCAUUAGGUUCACACAGUUCCUCAACCACCAACUUCUUCAUUAGUAUUGUUGCCUCGCAGAUCUUUCCAACCAACAAAAGCCCUGUGAGUAGGCUCGUAUACAUUCUUGCAAAACCUGCUUACGAUUGUAAACCCCAAAUCACCUCUUUUCAGUCGACAAAAGCAACCAAUCGCAACACUCAAGGUGUAGAGAUAUAUGGGAGCAUACAUUUGAAGCAUUUGGUCGAACAGAUGAAGGGCAACAGAGUAUUGCUUCAUCUUGACCACAACAAUCAAAAAAUUCGUGAAAUUAAUUACAGAAGGGCGUGGCUUCAUUCUCACCUAUUUUAAAUAGAGGAUACAUUUAAAAUAAGAUCUGGGAUUUGGCAAAAUACUGUCUAAUUUGGGUUGAUAUUAUCAAACAUUAAAUCAAAAAGUAGCAGAGAUGAAUGAUAAAUAUUAAUAAUGUAGAGAAGCAAUGGCAAAAGUAAAUGAAUUAAACGAAGAAAUGGUAAGAAAUUCUUACCCAAAAUAUGGCGGCGCGAUUCGACCUAAUUCUUAGACAACUUUGAGGGUUUCUUGCUAUUUUUGUUUAUGAGCAAAGGCUUUCUUGUCUCUCUCAUAUAUAGAUUCAGAGUUUUGGGUGGAUCUACUACUCCAU